RNAcentral lists this ribosomal RNA (495 nucleotides) under uncultured bacterium. RNAcentral describes it as "partial 16S ribosomal RNA". It matches the Rfam family "Bacterial small subunit ribosomal RNA", at positions 28 to 507 of the family's 1533-position model. The record is from RNAcentral.
GAUGAACGCUGGCGGCGUGCUUAACACAUGCAAGUCGAACGAAGCACCUCUCCCGAAGAUUGACACAGCUUGCUGUAGAUUGAUUCAUUUGAGGUGACUGAGUGGCGGACGGGUGAGUAACGCGUGGGUAACCUGCCUCAUAGAGGGGGACAACAGUUGGAAACGACUGCUAAUACCGCAUAGUAAGAAGAAUUCGCAUGUUUUCUUCUUGAAAGAUUUAUCGCUAUGAGAUGGACCCGCGUCUGAUUAGCUAGUUGGUAAGGUAACGGCUUACCAAGGCGACGAUCAGUAGCCGGCUUGAGAGAGUGAACGGCCACAUUGGGACUGAGACACGGCCCAAACUCCUACGGGAGGCAGCAGUGGGGAAUAGUGCACAAUGGGGGAAACCCUGAUGCAGCGACGCCGCGUGAGUGAAGAAGUAUUUCGGUAUGUAAAGCUCUAUCAGCAGGGAAGAUAAUGACGGUACCUGACUAAGAAGCCCCGGCUAACUACGUG